This 253-nucleotide ribosomal RNA is filed under the name uncultured bacterium. RNAcentral describes it as "partial 16S ribosomal RNA". It matches the Rfam family "Bacterial small subunit ribosomal RNA", at positions 524 to 776 of the family's 1533-position model. The record is from RNAcentral.
UACGUAGGGGACGAGCGUUGUCCGGAUUCAUUGGGCGUAAAGCGCGCGCAGGCGGUCCUUUAAGUCUGAUGUGAAAGCCCACGGCUCAACCGUGGAGGGUCAUUGGAAACUGGGGGACUUGAGUACAGAAGAGAAGAGUGGAAUUCCACGUGUAGCGGUGAAAUGCGUAGAGAUGUGGAGGAACACCAGUGGCGAAGGCGACUCUUUGGUCUGUAACUGACGCUGAGGCGCGAAAGCGUGGGGAGCAAACAGG